This 595-nucleotide ribosomal RNA is filed under the name Streptomyces sp. A7(2009). RNAcentral's name for it is "bacterial SSU rRNA". It matches the Rfam family "Bacterial small subunit ribosomal RNA", at positions 770 to 1353 of the family's 1533-position model. The record is from RNAcentral. Lineage: Bacteria; Bacillati; Actinomycetota; Actinomycetes; Kitasatosporales; Streptomycetaceae.
GAACAGGGAUUAGAUACCCUGGUAGUCCACGCCGUAAACGAUGGGCACUAGGGUGUGAGCAACAUUACACGUUGUCCGUGCCGCAGCUAACGCAUUAAGUGCCCCGCCUGGGGAGUACGGCAGCAAGGAUAAAACUCAAAAGAAUUAACGGGGGCCCGCACAAACGGCGGAUCAUGUGGCUUAAUUGGACGCAAGGCGAAGAACCUUAACAAGGCUUGACAUACACCGGAAAACCCUGGAGACAGGGUCACCCUUGUGGUCGGUGUACAGGUGGUGCAUGGCUGUAGUCAGCUCGUGUCGUGGGAUGUUGGGUUAAGUCCCGCAAAGAGCGCAAACCUUGUCCCGUGUUGCCAGCAGGCCCUUGUGGUGCUGGGGACUCACGGGAGACCGCCGGGGUCAACUCGGAGGAAGGUGGGGACGACGUCAAGUCAUCAUGCCCCUUAAGUCUUGGGCUGCACACGUGAUACAAUGGGCGGUACAAUGAGCUGCGAUCCGCGAGGUGGAGCGAAUCUAAAAAAGCCGGUCGUCAGUUCGGAAUUGGGGUCGUGCCACUCGACCCCCUGAAAGUCGAGGAGUGGGCAGUUAAGAUAAAAGU